AUCCCAGUGGUAUUGCCUGAGUAGAGAUUUGGUGGAGCAGAGUGAGGAAAAUUCAUCUGGAGGUUUCAACCUUGUGUGUUCUGAAAGUCGAGAAAGCAAACCUCCAAGAGUCCAAGAAUUCCAGAGCCAAUGAGAGCUUUGGCAGCCAGUCAGCAUUGAUGCUCUGAAGAAUAAGGC
Long non-coding RNA from Monodelphis domestica (gray short-tailed opossum), 177 nucleotides. NCBI's taxonomy places the organism in Eukaryota, Metazoa, Chordata, Mammalia, Didelphimorphia, Didelphidae. The record is from Ensembl.